AACUAGAUACGAAUUGUAGUAAUUUGACGUAUUGUUGAAAAAAGUAGGUCAAGUUAGAGCAGAGAAAAUAAAUGAUAGUCACAAAAAAAUAUCUUCUCGGCUUUGCAUCGAAGCGAAAACUUAAAAUAUAGUAAAAUAAUUUUAAUACGAAUAAGAAAUUUCUUCUUGCAAGGGGCGACUAAAGUGAUGGGAUCCUUGAUCUUUAUUGAAGUUAUUGAAUCUAAAUGUGAUAAAAAUCAAACGAGUUAAAAUUUAUACUAACUUAAAAAGAAUUAAGAAAAAAUGCAAAAAAUUCAUUGCCAUAUGCGGGUUGGAACCUCGUACCCCAAGCGUGUAAAACAUAAAUUUUACCAACUCGGCAACCGUACGUUGCUUCCGGCGGUUGAAAAAUUGGCUAUUUAAGCUAGUUCAAAUUUCAAAGUUAUUUUUCUCGACUUAAAAGAAACAAACAUAUUUAAAUAAGUUUAACUAUCUAUACUAUAUCAAUUUUAAUUUAUAUAAUAUUUAUGAAAAUCUGUACUCCCCUUGUCAGGUAUUUUAAAAUAAAAUAAAAUACAAAACCCAGAAUUUUAACACAAAAAUAGCAUAUUUUUGCAUACGGUAGUCAUUUUUACCAUGAAGACAAAUCCAGAGGUCAAAUUUUUUUUUUUCACAUUAAAGUAUAUUACAUAAGCUUUAAUUUAAGAUAUAUUUAAAAGUGUCAGUAUUUCCGGAAUACUUUCAAAAAUUAAAUUGAAAAUAUCGUAGUAACAAUACGCAUGUUUAAAGUUUUGACCCCCCUUGUUAAAGGGGUAUGAUCCGAUUUACAAAAAAAGCGUGCCAGAUGAAAGGGGUAUAUCAAUAUUUAUUAUAAAAAAAUAAUAAUAUAGAUCCAUACAUUUUUCCAAAAGUUAUAUAAAAUAUAAAUUAAAUAAUAUAACAUAUAAAAUCGAGAUUUUUUUCACGGAAAUCGUACGUUUUUCUUUAACUUUGAUGUCCGUUUUCACCACGAAGACAAGUCCAGAGGUCAAAUUUUUUUUUUUCAAAUUAAAGUAUAUUACAUUAGCUUUAAUUUAAGGUAUAUAUAAAAUUGUCAGUCUUUCCGGAACAUUUUCAAAAGUUAAGUUGAAAAAGUUAAUUUUUUGUAAAAAAGUUACCAUUUUGAAACCCCAUCCUUUGGGCUGUUAAAGGGUCAAAUGUUCACAAAAAUAUAUAAAAUGAUAGGUAAUUAUCUAAGGUAUCUAUAAAAAAAAAAAUUAUAUUGAUUCGGUCAUUUUUAAAAAAGUUAUGGCAAUUUUAAGUAAAAAAAAUUGAAAAAAUAUCGAAAAUUAGCGAUUUUUAAAUUUGUAAUUUUUUGGGGGAUUUCCCCCGUUUACGGGGAACGAGGGAAUUUUUUUCAAUUUUUGAGGGUAAUGUCUUCGACUAGAUACGAUUUGUGAUCUUUUGACAUAUUGUUCAUCAAAAUCGGUCCAGCGAGAGCUGAGAUUGAGCGUUCACAGACACAAAAAAAAAAAUAAAAAAAAAAAAAAAAAAAUAAAAAAA
Molecule: long non-coding RNA, 1521 nt
Organism: Daktulosphaira vitifoliae (grape phylloxera)
Lineage: Eukaryota; Metazoa; Arthropoda; Insecta; Hemiptera; Phylloxeridae
Exons: 2
Source: RefSeq, a predicted model, not a curated record